Heterocephalus glaber (naked mole-rat) is the source of this 104-nucleotide small nucleolar RNA. Ensembl annotates it as small nucleolar RNA, C/D box 46. NCBI's taxonomy places the organism in Eukaryota, Metazoa, Chordata, Mammalia, Rodentia, Bathyergidae. The record is from Ensembl.
ACUAAGCGUGAUGAAAAAGUAUCCUUAGGCGUGGUUGUGGCCGUCUUGGUCACUUUUGUGCCAUUUGCCAAUGCAAGGACUUGUCAUAGUUACACUGACCGAUG